AAAGGAAGUUGACGGGACCGCACAAGCGGUGGAUGAAAUGUGGUUUAAUUCGAUGCAACGACGAAAACCUUACCUACCCUUGACAUGUCAGGAACUCCGUAGAGAUGCGGAGGUGCUACGAAAGAGAGCCUGAACACAGGUGCUGCAUGGCCGUCGUCAGCUCGUGUCGUGAGAUGUUGGGUUAAGUCCCGCAACGAGCGCAACCCUUGUCAUUAGUUGCUACGAAAGCGCACUCUAAUGAGACUGCCGGUGACAAACCGGAGGAAGGUGGGGAUGACGUCAGGUCCUCAUGGCCCUUAUGGGUAGGGCUACACACGUCAUACAAUGGCCGGUACAGAGGGUUGCCAACCCGCGAGGGGGAGCUAAUCCCAUAAAGCCGGUCGUAGUCCGGAUCGCAGUCUGCAACUCGACUGCGUGAAGUCGGAAUCGCUAGUAAUCGCGGAUCAGCUUGCCGCGGUGAAUACGUUCCCGGGUCUUGUACACACCGCCCGUCACACCAUGGGAGCGG
This 508-nucleotide ribosomal RNA is filed under the name uncultured bacterium. Its description in RNAcentral is "bacterial SSU rRNA". It matches the Rfam family "Bacterial small subunit ribosomal RNA", at positions 903 to 1413 of the family's 1533-position model. The record is from RNAcentral.